Scleropages formosus (Asian bonytongue) is the source of this 69-nucleotide non-coding RNA. NCBI's taxonomy places the organism in Eukaryota, Metazoa, Chordata, Actinopteri, Osteoglossiformes, Osteoglossidae. The record is from the annotation of a RefSeq genome assembly.
GUAAAUAUAGUUUAAAAAAAACAUUAGAUUGUGAUUCUAAAAACAAAAGUUAAAAUCUUUUUAUUUACC